RNAcentral lists this unclassified non-coding RNA (253 nucleotides) under uncultured Myxococcales bacterium. RNAcentral describes it as "contains 16S-23S intergenic spacer region". It matches the Rfam family "Bacterial small subunit ribosomal RNA", at positions 524 to 776 of the family's 1533-position model. The record is from RNAcentral. Lineage: Bacteria; Pseudomonadati; Myxococcota; Myxococcia; Myxococcales.
GACAGAGGGUGCAAACGUUGCUCGGAAUUAUUGGGCGUAAAGAGCGUGUAGGCGGCUCGCUAAGUCGACUGUGAAAGCCCUCGGCUCAACCGGGGAAGUGCAGUCGAUACUGGCAAGCUCGAGUCCCGAAGAGGGUGGCGGAAUGCGCAGUGUAGAGGUGAAAUUCGUAGAUAUUGCGUAGAACAUCGGUGGCGAAGGCGGCCACCUGGGAGGCGACUGACGCUGAGACGCGAAAGCGUGGGGAGCAAACAGG